Long non-coding RNA from Gymnodraco acuticeps, 1205 nucleotides. RefSeq lists it as uncharacterized. NCBI's taxonomy places the organism in Eukaryota, Metazoa, Chordata, Actinopteri, Perciformes, Bathydraconidae. The transcript is spliced from 6 exons. The record is from RefSeq and is a predicted model, not a curated record.
GCGACACCCCUGGCAAGAGCUAAAAAAGGUGAGUGAAACUGAUUAUUCAAAGUAUUUUCAUCCCUUUAGUAUUGUAGGCUUGAGAAAGGAGACUGAACUCUGUCUAGGCAACUUCCAGUGUUAUUAUAAUCAUGUAUGUCGUUUUUGGAGACAUUUGUGUUGUUUUUAACCAAUACAUUUAGAAUAUAAGCUACCCUUUUGUUCUUGUUCCUGUUGAGAAAAAUGAAUACUGUGUAAAUGAAAUUAUUGUUUUGCACCUGUAUAUUAUAGAAAAUAACACUUAUGUUUACAUAUUCCCUAAUUUUUUCAGGUCACAUUUGAUCUAUAUGAUGGAGCCAUUGGAUUUGUGAAUAUAAGAAAUGUGCAUUGGAAGUUUGUGUACCUCCAUGCCCUUUCAAACCACAUUUAUGUGGUUGAUCCUCUGCAAGGGUCAAAUGAAGUUGAGGACUCCAGAAAGGCUGGUUACAAUUUUGGAGAGUAUUUCAAGAUGCGCCGGAACAGACUGGGAAAAGAGGACUGGGUUAACAUCAAAUGGCAGCCUGGAAAAAUAACCCACACCUUCCAGAAAGAUGCCACCAGUUGUGGAGCCUUUGUCAUGCAGACGUUUCACAUCAAGUCAUCAAAACAAUGUCUUCAACAUACAGUAUACGAAGAGACAUGGAAGAAGAAAUUCUCAAAGGAUCAGUUUCAAAGGAUGACUUCUGUUCCUUCUGUGGAAUUGAGGAUCUGCCCACAACUGCUGUUGAUGCUGUUUGGAUUCAGUGUGAAACUUCACACGCAGUGCCUCGGAAUGACUGCUGCACGAAUACCCAAAAAAAAGAUCCCGUGGUAUUGUGUGUUGUGUAUCCUCCCAAACUAAAGAGGCUAUAGGUGAGUUUGUGUAACUUUUACCAGAGGUACCAGGAUUUGGGGAGGUAAGGCUUGUAGUUUGAACUACUACCACAGUAGAAGUAGUGCGCUUACAAACGGCAUGUGGGGGGAAAUCCAGCCCAGCCAGUGAUUUGAAAUCGGCAAAAUGAAAGCUACAUUUUGUACAAAACAAACAAAAAUCCAGAAAAAAGCUUUGCUAAAGAUUUUGGGCAACUGAAGUAAUGAUUAAUAAUCACCUGUCCAUAGUUUUAAAUUGUUAUAUUCUUAAUUAAGAUGUUAAAUAUAUUUUCAAUUACAGAUUAAAGUAGUCACAGAUGUUCAUGAUGUUUUCCAUG